CACCCCACUGGCUUUGUGAUGACCCAUAACCCAAAGGACCAACACAACAAACCCACCCUAUUGCCUUUGCAAUGGUGCAGUACCCGAAGAGCUGACCCACAUAUAUCCCACAGCCACACCGGGUGCAACAAACCCACCCCAGUGCCUUUGCAAUGGUGCAAAAUACAGAGGGCUGACCCACAACGUGUCCUACAGCUGCACCAGGUGCAGCAAACCCAAACCAUUGCCUUUGCAAUGGUGCAACACCCAAAGAGCUGACCCACAUAUAUCCUACAGGCGCACCGGGUGCAGCAAACACACCCCACUGACUGUGCAGUGGUGCAGUACCCGAAGAGUCGAUGCCACAAACCCACCCCAUUGGCUUUGCAAUGGUGCAACACCCAAAGGAACGACCCACAGGUGUCCUACAGCCACACUGGGUGCAGCAAACACACCCCACUGCCGUUGCAGUGCUGCAGAAUAUCAAAGGCCAAUGCAACAAACCCACCCCAUUGCCUUUGCAGUGGUGCAACACCCAAAGGCCCAACCCACACAUGUCCUACAGCCACACGGUGCAGCAAACACAGCCCACUGCCAUUGCAGUGCUGCAGAAUAUCAAAGGCCAAUGCAACAAACCCACCCCAUUGGCUUUGCAGUGGUGCAACACCCAAAGGCCCAACCCACACAUGUCCUACAGCCACACUGGGUGCAGCAAACACACCCCACUGACGUUGCAGUGCUGCAGAAUAUCAAAGGCCAAUGCAACAAACCCACCCCAUUGCCUUUGCAAUGGUGCAGUACCCGAAGAGCGGACCCACAUAUAUCCCACAGGCACACCGGGUGCAGCAAACACACUCCAUUGGCUUUGCAACGGUGCAAAACCCAAAGGUCUGACCCACAACGUGUCCUACAGACACACUGCAUGCAGCAAACACACCCCACUGCACUGCAAUGGUGCAAAACCCAAAGGACCAAUGCAGCAGACCGCCCCACUGCACUGCAGUGGUGCAGAACCCAAAGAGCCGAUGCAACAAACCCAAACCAUUCGCUCUGCAGUUUAGGAUGGAGAGAUUGAUGCACCCGGGGCAGACAGUGACCUCCUCGGCCCCACACCUAUGGGGCUGCUGCUGUCCAAGCAUCAGCACUAUGGGGUCGGAUCGCUCCUACGGUGCCGAUGUCCCCAUUCCGGCUGCCAGGACUGCCGCUCUUCGGACACAGCGCCGCAGAGGACGGUUCCCACAGUGCACCCAUUGGGAUCCAC
RNAcentral lists this long non-coding RNA (1240 nucleotides) under Gallus gallus (chicken). Its description in RNAcentral is "lncRNA (ENSGALG00010028840.1)". Lineage: Eukaryota; Metazoa; Chordata; Aves; Galliformes; Phasianidae. The record is from RNAcentral.